RNAcentral lists this long non-coding RNA (488 nucleotides) under Phascolarctos cinereus (koala). RNAcentral's name for it is "lncRNA (ENSPCIG00000012612.2)". The record is from RNAcentral. Lineage: Eukaryota; Metazoa; Chordata; Mammalia; Diprotodontia; Phascolarctidae.
CUGAAAACCACUUCAGGAUAGAUGAAUCUCUUAGGUUUUAUCAUAGGAUUUAGAGUUGAAAGGUACUCAGAGGUCAUCUGGCCCAACCAUUUUCAUUUCUAGAUGAAGUUAAGGAUUAAGAUGCUGAGACUGCCAUAAAGGAUGAAAACUUUAGAGUCAAACAUCACUUAUCAAGGUCACAUAGCUACAGAAAUUAAUGGCAGAGCCCAGUCUUCGAAUAAAUACAACAGAGAAAAGAUGAGACAUAUUAUAAUGGACUAAGUAACCUUUGAGGGACUCAAAGGGAGCAUUCUAGGACAGUCACCGCAUUAUUUCCCACUCCGCUACUUUCCUGGACUUCACCAUCUUCAGAAACUCAUCAUUCUGUAACAUGAAAUCAACUUGCAAACUCACACCUUCUCAGAUCAUGUCUCAUCCUGGCUGCUUGACUUCAUCACACAGGGUAAGCCCCACUUCCUAAGCUCAAAAUUUCAGCCUUCUUUUGUGUA